CGGGGUGAGCGGCGGACGGGUGAGUAACGCGUGGGUAACCUGCCCUGUACACACGGAUAACAUACCGAAAGGUAUGCUAAUACGAGAUAAUAUAUUUUAAUCGCAUGGUUAAGAUAUCAAAGCUCGGGCGGUACAGGAUGGACCCGCGUCUGAUUAGCUAGUUGGUGAGGUAAUGGCUCACCAAGGCGACGAUCAGUAGCCGACCUGAGAGGGUGAUCGGCCACACUGGAGCUGAGACACGGUCCAGACUCCUACGGGAGGCAGCAGUGGGGAAUAUUGCACAAUGGGCGAAAGCCUGAUGCAGCAACGCCGCGUGAGCGAUGAAGGCCUUCGGGUCGUAAAGCUCUGUCCUCAAGGAAGAUAAUGACGGUACUUGAGGAGGAAGCCCCGGCUAACUACGUGCCAGCAGCCGCGGUAAUACGUAGGGGGCGAGCGUUGUCCGGAAUUACUGGGCGUAAAGGGUGCGUAGGCGGCCCUUUAAGUCGGAUGUGAAAGCCCGCGGCUUAACCGCGGAAUGGCAUUCGAAACUGGAGGGCUUGAGUGUCGGAGAGGGUAGUGGAAUUCCCAGUGUAGCGGUGAAAUGCGUAGAUAUUGGGAGGAACACCAGUGGCGAAGGCGACUACCUGGACGAUAACUGACGCUGAGGCACGAAAGCUAGGGGAGCAAACAGGAUUAGAUACCCUGGUAGUCCUAGCCGUAAACGAUGGGUACUAGGUGUGGGUGGUUUCGAUACCAUCCGUGCCGUAGUUAACGCAUUAAGUACCCCGCCUGGGGAGUACGUGCGCAAGCAUGAAACUCAAAUGAAUUGACGG
This 812-nucleotide ribosomal RNA is filed under the name uncultured bacterium. RNAcentral describes it as "bacterial SSU rRNA". It matches the Rfam family "Bacterial small subunit ribosomal RNA", at positions 87 to 916 of the family's 1533-position model. The record is from RNAcentral.